This 327-nucleotide ribosomal RNA is filed under the name uncultured eukaryote. RNAcentral describes it as "partial 18S ribosomal RNA". It matches the Rfam family "Eukaryotic small subunit ribosomal RNA", at positions 1470 to 1796 of the family's 1831-position model. The record is from RNAcentral.
CCCUUAGAUGUUCUGGGCCGCACGCGCGCUACACUGACGAAUGCAACGAGCUUAUAACCUUGGCCGAAAGGUCUGGGUAAUCUCCAAAUGUCGUCGUGAUGGGGAUAGAUUAUUGCAAUUAUUAAUCUUCAACGAGGAAUGCCUAGUAAGCGCAAGUCAUCAGCUUGCGUUGAUUACGUCCCUGCCCUUUGUACACACCGCCCGUCGCUCCUACCGAUUGAAUGGUCCGGUGAAGCGUUCGGACCGUGGCCUUUGGACGGUUCGCCGUCUGUUGGCUGCGGGAAGUUCGUUAAACCUUAUCAUUUAGAGGAAGGAGAAGUCGUAACA